UACGUAGGGGGCAAGCGUUGUCCGGAAUCAUUGGGCGUAAAGCGCGUGUAGGCGGCCCGGUAAGUCCGCUGUGAAAGUCCAGGGCUCAACCCUGGGAUGCCGGUGGAUACUGUCGGGCUCGAGUCCGGAAGAGGAGUGCGGAAUUCCUGGUGUAGCGGUGAAAUGCGCAGAUAUCAGGAGGAACACCGGUGGCGAAGGCGGGUCUCUGGGCCGAUACUGACGCUGAGGAGCGAAAGCGUGGGGAGCGAACAGG
RNAcentral lists this ribosomal RNA (253 nucleotides) under uncultured bacterium. RNAcentral describes it as "partial 16S ribosomal RNA". It matches the Rfam family "Bacterial small subunit ribosomal RNA", at positions 524 to 776 of the family's 1533-position model. The record is from RNAcentral.